This 329-nucleotide ribosomal RNA is filed under the name uncultured eukaryote. Its description in RNAcentral is "partial 18S ribosomal RNA". It matches the Rfam family "Eukaryotic small subunit ribosomal RNA", at positions 1470 to 1796 of the family's 1831-position model. The record is from RNAcentral.
CCCUUAGAUGUUCUGGGCCGCACGCGCGCUACACUGAUGCAUUCAACGAGUCUAAAACCUGCUCUGAUAGGGGUGGGUAAUCUUUUGAAUGUGCAUCGUGAUUGGGAUAGAUGAUUGCAAUUUUUCAUCUUCAACGAGGAAUGCCUAGUAAACGCAAGUCAUCAGCUUGCAUUGAUUACGUCCCUGCCCUUUGUACACACCGCCCGUCGCUCCUACCGAUUGAAUGAUCCGAUGAAUAUCAUGGAUUGAGGAUGCAAGCAGGUUCGCCUGUCUUCAUCUUCGAGAAGUGAAGUAAAUCUUAUCAUUUAGAGGAAGGAGAAGUCAUAACA